Molecule: ribosomal RNA, 495 nt
Filed under: uncultured bacterium
Lineage: Bacteria
Description: partial 16S ribosomal RNA
Rfam family: Bacterial small subunit ribosomal RNA
Source: RNAcentral
GACGAACGCUGGCGGCGUGCCUAAUACAUGCAAGUAGAACGCUGAAGGAGGAGCUUGCUCUUCUGGAUGAGUUGCGAACGGGUGAGUAACGCGUAGGUAACCUGCCUGGUAGCGGGGGAUAACUAUUGGAAACGAUAGCUAAUACCGCAUAACAGUAGAUGUUGCAUGACAUUUACUUAAAAGGUGCAAUUGCCUCACUACCAGAUGGACCUGCGUUGUAUUAGCUAGUUGGUGGGGUAACGGCUCACCAAGGCGACGAUACAUAGCCGACCUGAGAGGGGGAUCGGCCACACUGGGACUGAGACACGGCCCAGACUCCUACGGGAGGCAGCAGUAGGGAAUCUUCGGCAAUGGACGGAAGUCUGACCGAGCAACGCCGCGUGAGUGAAGAAGGUUUUCGGAUCGUAAAGCUCUGUUGUAAGAGAAGAACGAGUGUGAGAGUGGAAAGUUCACACUGUGACGGUAUCUUACCAGAAAGGGACGGCUAACUACGUG